This 894-nucleotide ribosomal RNA is filed under the name uncultured bacterium. RNAcentral's name for it is "bacterial SSU rRNA". It matches the Rfam family "Bacterial small subunit ribosomal RNA", at positions 1 to 891 of the family's 1533-position model. The record is from RNAcentral.
UAGAGUUUGAUCCUGGCUCAGGAUGAACGCUAGCUACAGGCUUAACACAUGCAAGUCGAGGGGAAACGAUAGAGAAAGCUUGCUUUUUCUAGGCGUCGACCGGCGCACGGGUGAGUAACGCGUAUCCAACCUGCCCAUCACUUGGGGAUAACCUUGCGAAAGUAAGACUAAUACCCAAUGAUAUCUCUAGAAGACAUCUGAAAGAGAUUAAAGAUUUAUCGGUGAUGGAUGGGGAUGCGUCUGAUUAGCUUGUUGGCGGGGUAACGGCCCACCAAGGCGACGAUCAGUAGGGGUUCUGAGAGGAAGGUCCCCCACAUUGGAACUGAGACACGGUCCAAACUCCUACGGGAGGCAGCAGUGAGGAAUAUUGGUCAAUGGGCGAGAGCCUGAACCAGCCAAGUAGCGUGCAGGAUGACGGCCCUAUGGGUUGUAAACUGCUUUUAUAAGGGAAUAAAGUGAGUCUCGUGAGACUUUUUGCAUGUACCUUAUGAAUAAGGACCGGCUAAUUCCGUGCCAGCAGCCGCGGUAAUACGGAAGGUCCGGGCGUUAUCCGGAUUUAUUGGGUUUAAAGGGAGCGUAGGCCGGAGAUUAAGCGUGUUGUGAAAUGUAGACGCUCAACGUCUGCACUGCAGCGCGAACUGGUUUCCUUGAGUACGCACAAAGUGGGCGGAAUUCGUGGUGUAGCGGUGAAAUGCUUAGAUAUCACGAAGAACUCCGAUUGCGAAGGCAGCUCACUGGAGCGCAACUGACGCUGAAGCUCGAAAGUGCGGGUAUCGAACAGGAUUAGAUACCCUGGUAGUCCGCACGGUAAACGAUGGAUGCCCGCUGUUGGUCUGAAUAGGUCAGCGGCCAAGCGAAAGCAUUAAGCAUCCCACCUGGGGAGUACGCCGGCAA